This is a long non-coding RNA of Gallus gallus (chicken), 888 nucleotides long. The record is from Ensembl. NCBI's taxonomy places the organism in Eukaryota, Metazoa, Chordata, Aves, Galliformes, Phasianidae.
ACCCACCCUCAGGCACCUGGGGUCCCAUUCUCUCCCUCACAGCACCCAGGGAUUAACACAACUCCAUCCUCACCUCCCUCUCACUUCUUCCUGCUCCGUAAUACUUUCCCGUGCCACUCUGCUUCAUUGCUUGUCUCCUGCAAUUGCCUGGCUUUAGAAACAGUUUUAUCUGAGCAGAACUAUGCCUCCUGUGGGAAGUGUAAAUAUAGAAAGAUGACAACAUGUGCAUUAAUGCUCGUUAGAAUGUCAUCAUUAUAUUCUGCAAAGUGUCUGCUGAAGGGAUCCCUAAAGGACACUUAGAAAUGAAGCAGCUGCUCCGGAUUUGUUCCAGCUCACAUCUUGAAGAAAAUGACAUUGAGAUAAAUACAGCGUUGUGAGCAUCUUCUGAGCAGAAGGAGAAAGAAGAGAGAGGAGGAUCUCCCUUUGUAACAGUCCCAAAGCAGGACCAAGGCACGCUCCAAACUUCCUCACUCUCUGCCUAUUUAACGUUAAUCCCAUCCUGCAAUGUCCAAUGGUUGGGGUGGUACUGCGGCAGCUCUCACCCACCUGCAUGGCAGUGCACACAGAGAAGGAGAAACCUAGAGAAAUUAAAGUGCUUUCUGUGGAAUACACCUCCGACUUCGUUAUCUUUGGCCACGAGCUUUUCUUCUGCUGUCAAAGCUAACGAGACACUGGCAUGGAGCAGAGCGUUAGUUGCAAGAAAACACUGCUCUAUUUCUUUCCAAACCUUUCAAGGUUUUGGAACUCCAGCCAAAAAGGCUCGAGCUUCACAUUUAUAGAAACACUGUAAGACAACAGAGCCUGUGGGGAUUUUGUGUUCUUUGCAAAAAAACAAAGGGAAGAAAUAAAAAUCUAAAAGAGAGCAUCUAUAUGACCAAACUCUCACAU